This 268-nucleotide ribosomal RNA is filed under the name uncultured bacterium. RNAcentral's name for it is "partial 16S ribosomal RNA". It matches the Rfam family "Bacterial small subunit ribosomal RNA", at positions 793 to 1055 of the family's 1533-position model. The record is from RNAcentral.
GUCCACGCUGUAAACGAUGGGCGCUAGGUGUGGGGGGUUUUUAAUCCCUCCGUGCCGCAGCUAACGCAUUAAGCGCCCCGCCUGGGGAGUACGGCCGCAAGGUUAAAACUCAAAGGAAUUGACGGGGGCCCGCACAAGCGGUGGAGCAUGUGGUUUAAUUCGACGCAACGCGAAGAACCUUACCUGGGCUUGACAUGUGGGGAAUCUCACGGAAACGUGGGAGUGCGUAGCAAUACGAGCCCCAGCACAGGUGCUGCAUGGCUGUCGU